This 1023-nucleotide long non-coding RNA is filed under the name Cervus hanglu yarkandensis (Yarkand deer). RNAcentral describes it as "lncRNA (ENSCHYG00000005050.1)". The record is from RNAcentral. Lineage: Eukaryota; Metazoa; Chordata; Mammalia; Artiodactyla; Cervidae.
CUCAUUUUCAGUAUCUGUAAAAACAUUUCCCUUGUAGCAUAAUGCAAGCAUUAGAAAUAAUACAUCCACUCUCAUGAAUUAUCUCAUUAUUGACAAAAUAUAGAACCCAUAUGCUUAAUAUGCAGUAAAUGUUCACUUAAUAAAAAGCUAUUUCUAUUCAUUCUAAUAGCAGAAAAGAACUGAUAGUAUAAGACACAGUAUUCAUUUGAUUCCCAUGCUAUAAAUAUUUUCUAAAAUGCAUGUCCUCCUUUUGCCCUGCUAAUUUAAGGCAAUAGCCUAAAAUUUCUGCCAGGUUAAAAAUCUCAUUUCUACUGCUUGUUGUCUAUGUGACCUUGAACAAACCACAGCACCUCUCUCUGCCUCAAUUCUCUAAUCUAAAAAUAGGGACACAUAUUAUUUAUCUCCUAUUUCUUUUGCAAUUCCUGGGUGCCUUCAGCUAAGCAAGGCACUGUGCUGCUGAUACAAUUAAGGACUCAUUGUUUCUAACGUAAACAUUUCUCAAUAUUUUAUAAAAUGCUUGCGUUUGAAAAUUCCCAACUCAUUGCACACACAAAAAGUGAUUGGCCAUGAGACAAAUUUAGCUCAUGAUUUCCUUUUUUCUUCAUCUCCUUUCUUUUCAGUUGUCACCUCUAGCUUUCUCUGGCUUUGGGUAGCUGUUCUCUGACACUCCCUUCUCAUUGUGGUCCAGUCUUCAUUGGCUACAAUCAAAUGGUUUCCAUUGUGACCCUAGGAGAAAUUUCCCAUUGGAAUGACAAUUCCCAAGGCACCAUCACCUUGAUCAGCAAUAAUUUACGCACCGCAAUAAUAAUUAGAGCAGUAGUUUCACUAAUAAUAAAAACUAACAUUUAUUGAAUAUUUAUUAGGCGUAGGAAACAUACUAAAUAAUUUAUCCGCAUUAUCUUAUUUAAUCCUAAUAGCAAACCUAUGAGCGGUAGACUUCAUUGUCAUAAAUGAAGAAGCAGGACUCAGAAAGGUGAAGUAACCUUCUCAAGGGCACACAGCUAGAAUACGGUAGAGUUGGAA